UGUUCUUUUAUUUUCGAUCGCGAUCUCGAUCUCGUCUCUUGAUCCAUUCUAGAGAGAGAGAGAGAGAGAGAGAGAGGAUAGAGAAACCCUAAUUCUUGGCGAUCUUGUUUCUUUGGUCCGCUCAAUUCAGAGAGAUUCUCUCUGGAUUAGCUCUGAUUCUUGAUCUUGUGUUGGAGAGAGAGAGAGAGAGAGAGAGAGAGAGAGAGAGAGAGAGAGAGAAACCCUAAUGGCGGUGGUAUCGGCUUUGGCGAAGUACAAGCUGGUGUUUUUGGGAGAUCAAUCGGUGGGGAAAACGAGCAUCAUCACUCGAUUCAUGUAUGACAAAUUCGACACCACUUAUCAGGCCACUAUUGGCAUUGAUUUUCUGUCGAAGACAAUGUACCUUGAAGAUCGCACAGUUCGCUUACAGCUUUGGGAUACUGCUGGGCAGGAGAGAUUUAGGAGUCUUAUUCCAAGCUACAUUAGAGAUUCUUCUGUUGCAGUCAUUGUUUAUGAUGUUGCAAACCGACAAUCCUUUUUGAACACUUCAAAGUGGAUUGAGGAAGUACGCACAGAACGAGGUGGUGAUGUUAUUAUUGUCCUUGUUGGAAACAAAACAGAUCUUGUUGAAAAAAGGCAAGUCUCUAUAGAAGAAGGAGAAGCAAAGUCCCGUGAAGUUGGUGUCAUGUUCAUAGAGACCAGUGCUAAAGCUGGAUUCAAUAUCAAGCCACUAUUCCGAAAGAUUGCUGCAGCCCUGCCAGGAAUGGAGAACCUCUCUUCCACAAGACAGGAAGAUAUGGUCGAUGUAAACCUGAAGCCCACAGUAAGCUCAUCCAACACUGAGCAACAAUCAGGAGGCUGUGCCUGCUAGAAGAGAGCAAGAACUUUUUGUCUAUAAGGUGAGAGCUCUUACCAGUUGGUGAUAGUACAAUUUGAACUUCAACCAUAAAUGCACAGUGCAAGAGAUAUUGUCAUUCCUCGUUGCUAUAAGAUGAUACAUCUACAUAAUUUAGGGAAUGAAGGAGCCUUCAGUUUCCAGAAUCACUUGUUUCCUUUGUUCUCGUGACGUGUUGUUGCUCAAUAGUGUAUGAUGGAUAUUCCCAUUAUUUUGUUUUGUUUGUCAUUCUUCUUUAUUUCCAUACCGAGCUUGAAUGUUGUUAUGUUAUAAGCUUGAUAAUUUUGAAUAUGUGUUUUGUAAACUUUAAUUUGUUUUUUGGGUUAGAGAGAGGUUUCAAUUUAUCAGUAUGUUUAGUGAUUUACAGUCCAGUAUUAUUGUGAUUACCUUUUGUUA
Molecule: RNA transcript, 1270 nt
Organism: Asparagus officinalis (garden asparagus)
Lineage: Eukaryota; Viridiplantae; Streptophyta; Magnoliopsida; Asparagales; Asparagaceae
Gene name: ras-related protein RABH1e
Exons: 7
Source: RefSeq, a predicted model, not a curated record